GACGAACGCUGGCGGCGUGCUUAACACAUGCAAGUCGAACGGAAAGGCCCUGCUUUUGUGGGGUGCUCGAGUGGCGAACGGGUGAGUAACACGUGAGUAACCUGCCCUUGACUUUGGGAUAACUUCAGGAAACUGGGGCUAAUACCGGAUAGGAGCUCCUGCUGCAUGGUGGGGGUUGGAAAGUUUCGGCGGUUGGGGAUGGACUCGCGGCUUAUCAGCUUGUUGGUGGGGUAGUGGCUUACCAAGGCUUUGACGGGUAGCCGGCCUGAGAGGGUGACCGGCCACAUUGGGACUGAGAUACGGCCCAGACUCCUACGGGAGGCAGAAGUGGGGAAUAUUGUACAAUGGGCGGAAGACUGAUGCAGAAACGCCGCGUGCGGGAUGACGGCCUUCGGGUUGUAAACAGCUUUCGCCUGUGACGAAGCGUGAGUGACGGUAAUGGGUAAAGAAGCACCGGCUAACUACGUG
RNAcentral lists this ribosomal RNA (468 nucleotides) under uncultured bacterium. RNAcentral describes it as "partial 16S ribosomal RNA". It matches the Rfam family "Bacterial small subunit ribosomal RNA", at positions 28 to 507 of the family's 1533-position model. The record is from RNAcentral.